Molecule: ribosomal RNA, 468 nt
Filed under: uncultured bacterium
Lineage: Bacteria
Description: partial 16S ribosomal RNA
Rfam family: Bacterial small subunit ribosomal RNA
Source: RNAcentral
GACGAACGCUGGCGGCGUGCUUAACACAUGCAAGUCGAACGGAAAGGCCCUGCUUUUGUGGGGUGCUCGAGUGGCGAACGGGUGAGUAACACGUGAGUAACCUGCCCUUGACUUUGGGAUAACUUCAGGAAACUGGGGCUAAUACCGGAUAGGAGCUCCUGCUGCAUGGUGGGGGUUGGAAAGUUUCGGCGGUUGGGGAUGGACUCGCGGCUUAUCAGCUUGUUGGUGGGGUAGUGGCUUACCAAGGCUUUGACGGGUAGCCGGCCUGAGAGGGUGACCGGCCACGUUGGGACUGAGAUACGGCCCAGACUCCUACGGGAGGCAGCAGUGGGGAAUAUUGCACAAUGGGCGGAAGCCUGAUGCAGCAACGCCGCGUGCGGGAUGACGGCCUUCGGGUUGUGAACCGCUUUCGCCUGUGACGAGGCGUGAGUGACGGUAAUGGGUAAAGAAGCACCGGCUAACUACGUG